Molecule: ribosomal RNA, 274 nt
Filed under: uncultured bacterium
Lineage: Bacteria
Description: partial 16S ribosomal RNA
Rfam family: Bacterial small subunit ribosomal RNA
Source: RNAcentral
AUACGGAGGGUGCAAGCGUUAUCCGGAAUUACUGGGCGUAAAGCGCACGCAGGUGGCUAGGUUAGUCGGAUGUGAAAGCCCCGGGCUCAACCUGGGAAUUGCAUUCGAAACUGCAUGACUAGAGUCUGAUAGAGGGAAGUGGAAUUUCCGGUGUAGCGGUGAAAUGCGUAGAUAUCGGAAGGAACAUCAGUGGCGAAGGCGGCUUCCUGGAUUAAGACUGACACUAAGGUGCGAAAGCGUGGGGAGCAAACAGGAUUAGAUACCCUGGUAGUCC